GGGGAUGGGGGGCAGCUGAUGCAGCCAUGCCGCGUGAGUGAGAAGGUCUUCGGAUUGUAAAACUCUUUUUUUAGGGAAGAAAGUUUCGGGACCUGUACCUUAUUGUCUGUACCUUUCCAAUAAAGUACGCCUAAGUCUAUACCAUCACCCCCGGCAAUAUAAUAACUGUUUCGUCCAUGUCUAGCGCCCGACGUGCUACUGAACCUACGAUUCAAGCGAGUUCUCGUUGGGGGGGGAGCAGCCAUCCUUGACGGUCUUUCUCUUCAAUUUGGCCCCUAUAGUCAGGCUGGGUUAAUUCCGGUCCUCUUGUUACUACGGUAAUACGGCAUUCGAAUCGAACCCCGGGUGCGGGGGUGAUGAGGGGGAAGGGUUUUAGUGUGAGGUUU
This 386-nucleotide ribosomal RNA is filed under the name uncultured Alphaproteobacteria bacterium. RNAcentral's name for it is "partial 16S ribosomal RNA". Lineage: Bacteria; Pseudomonadati; Pseudomonadota; Alphaproteobacteria. The record is from RNAcentral.